RNAcentral lists this unclassified non-coding RNA (330 nucleotides) under soil metagenome. Its description in RNAcentral is "partial contains 5.8S ribosomal RNA, internal transcribed spacer 2, and large subunit ribosomal RNA". The stretch from base 1 to 120 matches the Rfam family "5.8S ribosomal RNA", at positions 35 to 154 of the family's 154-position model. The record is from RNAcentral.
GAUGAAGAACGCAGCGAAAUGCGAUAAGUAAUGUGAAUUGCAGAAUUCAGUGAAUCAUCGAAUCUUUGAACGCACAUUGCGCCCUCUGGUAUUCCGGGGGGCAUGCCUGUUCGAGCGUCAUUAUAACCACUCAAGCUCUCGCUUGGUAUUGGGGUUCGCGGUUUCGCGGCCCCUAAAAUCAGUUGCGGUGCCUGUCGGCUCUACGCGUAGUAAUACUCCUCGCGAUUGAGUCCGGUAGGUCUACUUGCCAGCAACCCCUAAUUUUUUUAAGGUUGACCUCGGAUCAGGUAGGGAUACCCGCUGAACUUAAGCAUAUCAAUAAGCGGAGGA